AAUAGAGGUGCAUUUAGAGGGUAGUGACUUCCCUAUACGAGAAGACAAUCGUGGGAAGCAUGAAGGGCUGAAUGCCGAAAGGGGAGAGACUUGUCUUGCUCAAACCUUGGUGAAAAGUCCAAUGCUUUUCACUGUCAUGAUUCUCAUGGAGCGCUAUUU
RNAcentral lists this non-coding RNA (159 nucleotides) under pig gut metagenome. Its description in RNAcentral is "Lysine riboswitch". It matches the Rfam family "Lysine riboswitch aptamer". Rfam says of the family: Riboswitches are metabolite binding domains within certain messenger RNAs that serve as precision sensors for their corresponding targets. Allosteric rearrangement of mRNA structure is mediated by ligand binding, and this results in modulation of gene expression. The record is from RNAcentral.